UACGGAGGGUGCAAGCGUUGUCCGGAUUUAUUGGGUUUAAAGGGUGCGUAGGCGGCUUAUUAAGUCAGCGGUGAAAGACUUCGGCUCAACCGGAGCAGUGCCGUUGAUACUGGUUAGCUUGAGUGCUGCAGGGGUACAUGGAAUUGAUGGUGUAGCGGUGAAAUGCAUAGAUACCAUCAGGAACACCGAUAGCGAAGGCAUUGUACUGGGCAGCAACUGACGCUGAGGCACGAAAGCGUGGGGAUCGAACAGG
This 253-nucleotide ribosomal RNA is filed under the name uncultured bacterium. Its description in RNAcentral is "partial 16S ribosomal RNA". It matches the Rfam family "Bacterial small subunit ribosomal RNA", at positions 524 to 776 of the family's 1533-position model. The record is from RNAcentral.